UGUACUUGUGCCAGCUUGAAACUGCUGAGAUGCUUUCGUUCUAUUUUAGAUCAAGAAAAUGCAAGAAACGUCACCCUAAAUCAGACCAAUGGCCCUUACAGACCAUAUUCUCCCUUUUAAUGAGCACAGGACUCAGAAGACCAGUGGGAAAACUCCGAUUCAUUAAUUUCAUUAAAUAUUUCUUGAAUUUCUGUCCUUGCUCUGUUCAAUCCCUUGGAAUACUGAAGUUUACAUAUUUGAUAGCUAUUGCAUAAAAUCACAUGUUUUAACAUAUUCUUUUCAGAUCACCAAAUAGACUGUAAAAAAGAAAAAGGAAAGAAAAAGAAAAAAAAAAAGAUGCAACCAUUCAUGAAGCCAUUAGUAAAACCAAUGAAUUACAGAAGAAGUAUGGAAGGGAUUUUAGUGUUUGAAAAUGAGAAUGAAUAAACGUUGUGCAAGAUUUGACUCUACAAGCAUACAUAGCCAGACAAAAAAAGAUUUGUUGUCAGAUAUGUGUACAGAGAAAGCUUUCUUCCACUAAUGAUCGACAAGUAAGAAAGCUGAAGAGAAGCAGGUUAAAAUUCAUAAAUUUACAUAGUCUAAGGUUAAUAUUCCCUAUUAAGCAUCAGUGAAUCUGCAAAUCUUGGAUCAUCUUCAACAUAUGAAAAGUUAUAUUUAAAAAAAAUUUAAAUAAUGAGUUACAUUUUAAAGUUAAUAAAAUCGUAACAUCUAAUAUUAGAAAACAACCCAAACUUUCUGCUUAUUUCCUUCAGGACAUGUGUGGCUGGGGUUUACUUUAACUUUCAUGCUGUAUUUUCAUAUUCUUCCUUCAGAGACAUUGCUAUUAUUAUUUAUUAUUAGUGACACAUUUGUUUUGGGUGCGUGAGUGCUUUCUGUGAAUAGGUUCUAGAAUUUUUGAAUCUCACACAGUGAUUAUUCUCUUACGAAUCUGAAGCUGCCAUGGGAAAAGAGGUGCUUCUGAAGAGGGUCCAAAGGAGUUCCCUGGGGAGAAGGUGAAACACCACUGGGGACCAAUGGGAUCCUUGGCUUAGGUGAUAGAAAAAAUAAUUUCAGAGGUAUAAACAGAGGUUAGUUUUAAUGGGAUCCCCAAUAAAAUUUGGAGUGUAGGAGAGAAGCACACUGUCCCUCUCUUCCCAGAGAGGACCAAACUCUCUUCCUUGAGACUGUCUCAUUUCCCUUUUUUUCCAUCCCUUCAAUAAACUCAUGCCUGUUACUCUGAGAUAUAUUGUCUGCAAUCUGACUUGAUCUCAAGAAUCACGGUUUGAAGAGUGGUGGUGGUGGGUAUCUUUGCACUGCCUCAGUUUCCUGGAAGGCCCCAAGCCCUCUAACAUUCCCUUGUCCUUCCAUUAUGUCUCCUUUCUACCUAUUUCUCAUUUCUUCUACCUCAAAGCUAAUGUUGAAUUUCAAGUCGACUGUGUAUGAAAGAGGGAAAAGAGAGAGAGGAAAUUAAAGAGAAGUUUCCAGAUUGCUAAGAAUACUGCUGAGAAUAUCUAAGGAGUCAGAUGGUCAGUGACUUGACUGUUUCAGAAUAAAAUGACUUCUACUGAAUUUAGUCCUGUAGGGAAAAUGAGGGAAAAGAUCUGAGCUAUACUAUUGUGGUGAAUAAUGUCUUUCUCAAUAUGGAAAACUGCUGUUAAUGGACAAAGAUAUUGGCUCCUGUUGCCUGGGGGGAAUGGGAAAGUGGAAUCUGGGCCUCUUGAAAGGACAGCCACUGGGAAAGCUCCCUGGGCAAGUGCAUUUCCUUCUUGAGCAAUCAAGAGUCUACUUUCUUUUUAGUGCUUGAAUUUAAUGGAAGAAUUGUUGCUUUACAAAAUCGUUUGUUUUUAAAUAAAGGGAAUUGGCAUGCUACAGUGAAUAAUACCAAAUUGCUUGGUGUUUUGAGUUUACUUUAUUUUUAAUGUUUCUAUUCACUGAG
Molecule: long non-coding RNA, 1915 nt
Filed under: Marmota monax (woodchuck)
Lineage: Eukaryota; Metazoa; Chordata; Mammalia; Rodentia; Sciuridae
Source: RNAcentral